AGGGAAGCUUGGUUAAAAACAGUUAUGGCAGUGGGAGUCGAAGCGAGGGUCUGAAGUUCACGACUACUAGAAGGGGAGGGGAGUGGAAAGGCUCUCAGUGAAAAAGGUAUGGAACCCUUCAGAUCAAAGCUUACCAAUAAAUUCAGUAUGUAGAACAGAUUAACGUAGUUGAAAUGAGGAAGAAUGAGAGUUAUCUCAACCAGCCAGCACCCCCUAUCCCCAUUCCCACACUUUCCCUCAUGGGAGGCUGUCGGGAGCACUUCGAAAACCACUGGAAAGGCCGGGCACGGUGGCUCAUGCCUGUAAUCCCAGCACUUUGGGAGGCCAAGGCAGGCAGAUCACCUGAGGUCAGGAGUUCGAAACCAGCCUGGCCAACAUGGCGAAACCCCAUCUUUACUAAAAAUACGAAAAUUAGCCAGGUAUUAGAAUUAUUUCUGAAUUAUCAGUCUCUCAUUUGUGCUUUGGAGAAGCAGAAAAGGCAAAAGGGGUCUUUGGCCAUCUUCUGCUGGAGCUUCCAGGGAGGAUGUGUCUCCAAGAGACCAGAUGUACCGAGUUUGAAAUCCCAGAAGCCCAAGAGGAAAAGAAUCACAGGGAGGAAAAGACUGUCCAAAGGCUUCUGGAGUCUUCUGUUCUCUAACCUUGGAAGGUUUUGAACAAUAUUUCUCAGAGGAUAGCCUUUCACUUAUUCAUCUGUCCAGCAUGACUCAUCCCCGGGAGUGUUGAGUAAGUGAAAUUUUGCUGUAUUCAUGUUUUUGUGACUUAUAAAAUAGGAUGAUAAGGAGAGAACAUGAACUCUGGAGUCAGACCUGUUACCUCGGACAUGAUACUCUUAGCUUUGUCAUUUAGUAUUUGAGUAAUUUUGGGCAAGCUAACAUCUCUGGUCGUUCUCAUCUGUAAAAUGAGAAUAAAUGAAACCCACUAACCAGAAUUGGUAUGAAAAUGAAAUGUGGCAGAAAAAAAAUGAAAGUGAAUAGUAUCACCACUGACACACAAGCACUAAAGGCCCUUCCUGUCUCCAUCAGGUAUGGAUUUGGGGCAACAUUUGGCCAGGUCUUGUUUAUCUUUCUGUUCAUCUAUUCUGUCUAAUUCAGUGCUUUGUUUACAACGAAUGUCUUACAAAUGCUGACUGAACACUAGCAUACCUGCAUGAACAACAGGUAAAUAAAUUUUAGAUGUGUUUUAAUGUUUAUUAAUCUAUCCUGUCAGAGAAGAACUGCCAGUUAUAGAUAAAUAUGAUGCCAGGUCAGGGCUGAAGAGUUGGGCAGGUUGUUAUCUGCAUGGGGUCACUAGGUUCCAGUGGAGAGGUGGGGGCUAAGCUCUCACCCGCUCUGCAGCCACCUGGCACCCGGUUUCAGUUUCCUGAAAGGGAGCCUUCUACUUGCUGACGACUGCCUCAUCUCUUCUGAGGUUUCCUCUGAUAAACAAUUUUCUCUGCUUUUUUUUUUUAAUUAUGAAAUACUUAAAAUGUAAAGGAGAUAAUGUGACACACAUUUACCCAUAAUUGAGAUUGCCAUAAUUGCUAUAACUUUUUCAAAAUUUUGACUUAAUUUCAGACUUUUAGAAAAAUUGGCCAGGUGUGAUGGCUCAUGCCUGUAAUCCCAGCACUUUGGGAGGCCAAGGUGGGUAAAUUACUUGAACCCAGCAGUUCGAGACUUGCCUGGGCAACAUAGUGAGACCUUGUCUCUACUGAAAACAAACUAAAAAAAAAAUUAGCCAACCAUGGUGGUGCAUGCCUGUAGUCCUAGCUACUCGGGAAGCUGAGGCAAGAGGAUAGCCUGAGCCCAGGGGAGUUGGGGCUGAAGCCUGGGUGACAGAGGAAGACCUUGCCUUCAAAAAAACAAAAAAAAAGAAAAGAAAUUCUUUAUAUUACAAAGAAUUCCCAUAUACCUUCCACAGUUUCCCAAAUGUUAAUAUUUUCCCACAUUUGCUUUAUCCUUGUCUCUUGAUAUUACAUAUGCUGGUUAUAUUUUUCUGAACCAUUUAGGAGAAAUUUGCAUACAUGAUGACUGUUUCCUCCUAAAUACUCCAGUUCUUAUUUUCUAAAAAUAAGGACAUUCUCUUACACAACCACAGAACAAUUAUCAAAAGCUUGGAAACUAACAUUGAUACAAUACUUUAAUCUACAUACCUCAUUCAGAUUUCACCAGUUGUCCUAAUAAUGUAAUAAAAUUAUUUCUGGAUUAUGUCUAUCUCAUUUAUAGUAAAAGAAAAUCCUGGAUCAUGCAUUGCA
Molecule: long non-coding RNA, 2230 nt
Filed under: Homo sapiens (human)
Lineage: Eukaryota; Metazoa; Chordata; Mammalia; Primates; Hominidae
Description: chromosome 8 putative open reading frame 44, transcript variant 1 (C8orf44)
Source: RNAcentral